GAAAAAGAUGAAUAUUUGGGAUUUAGACUGCAGCAAUAUGCAGAAAAAGCAAACCAGCCAUUUUUGCUAUUGAUAGAUGAUGGCUUUUUGUGCCACUCGUACUCCUCCCUAAUGGUAGGAUGACAAAAGAUGGGGGGAACUCUUCCUUGUGAUUCCCCAUGACGUGGUGUACCGCAGCUAAUAAAGGCCAAUAAAUGUAUGCAUCUUUCCCUUAACUGUGACUCCAUUUCUU
RNAcentral lists this unclassified non-coding RNA (232 nucleotides) under Hevea brasiliensis (rubber tree). The record is from RNAcentral. Lineage: Eukaryota; Viridiplantae; Streptophyta; Magnoliopsida; Malpighiales; Euphorbiaceae.